GUCCACAGCAGUUAUUUUUCCCUGUAAUCCAUGUAUUUAAUUAAUCAGCUGCACACUGAGAAAGUGUAAGGUGGCUAAUCACUUUAAUCAUUAAGCAGUGGUAUUAGUUUUCACUUAAGACAUCAUUCAGGGAAAGUAAAUUAGGGCUUGAAAUGAGAAAUGUGCAGAGGUGGAAGAGCAAAUAAGGACAUUUCUUCAUCAGCUCUGACAGGCACUUUUAAAAUUGGCUUGUGCCUCUCUCCUGGGUUCUCCAAAGAAGUUUUUUUGGAAUUAGUUUCUUCUUUUAUUUAGACAAGGCAAGUAAAGGAAAGAUAUCAGUUCUCACUGUUUGCUAAGGAGGGAUCUGAUAUUGUUCUGUUUUGAUUGUAUGUUACUUUCUUUUCUGGAGACCAUUUAGCUUUUGGAACCAGCCAGAAAUCUUCCAAUAGAACAAUAUCUUUUGCCAGCAAAGAUGAGUUUUAUAAACUGUAAGUGUCCAUGGGUAAUACAAGUAAAAUAUUUCUAUUUUGGAUCAAUUCAAUCUCACUUUAAAUAUUUGUCUGCUGGAACUUUCUGAAUUAAAUCAGCGGCAACAAAAUACCACUCAAGUUCAUGGUCCGUUCAAGAGGACAGGAUCAAAUACAGAGUCUCCUGGAGGCAGUGCCUACCAUGUAAUAUUAAAAAAAGGCCAGCAAAAUGAAGUAAGAAGCUUCUAAUUCCCCAAAGAAAAUAACACAUUUUUAGUUGAAAAAAGGCAAAAGUAUUUUUGCAGUUUUUGCAUUUGGAAGUGCCUGCUUUUUGUGAAAAUAAUUGUUUUAACUGCUCAACCUGUUUAAGACAAUACUGAUGUUGAAAUCCGUGAAUAUCUUUCAGUGUUGAAUUGGAACUUCAUUAAACUUCAUGUUAUAGUUACUUGUCUACUUACGGUCUUACCAGGGAAGUCUGAAUUAGAUGGUGCUUGUGGAGAAUGCUUAUCCCUCAAAAAGCUUCAUAAAAAUUUGAUAGGUGCCAAGGAUAGACUUUCAGACCCAGUGUUGACUUGGCAAGAAGCAUCUCAAAUCCUCUGUUUAUUAGUGGAUGUGCAAAUGAUAAACAAUUGCAUGCAAAAGGGAAAGUUUUGAUGGAGCCCUUUGGAUAAGCCUCCAGGAGAGGAAAGCAAGAAGACAUAAGGAACCUGCGAUCAUGUGCAAACAAAUGCUAGCCUAAAUACAGUAGAUACAGAUACAAAUGGACUCCAGUAUUUAAACACCUCUUCCUCACUGUGCCUGGAAGUUAUUUUGGUUCAUUUGAAAUUAGUUCCUUUUUUUGUUUGUUUUGGCACUUCAUCUUGAUGCAGCUGCUUGCUUUGCAUUGUUUAACUUUGUUGUAUGCAUUCAUGUGUUCCAUGUUAAUAGUUCUCAGUAGGUGAACUAGCAUACUAUGUAGGUUGUUAAGAUAUUUUUGAAAGUCUGCCCGAUUUCACAUUGCUUUGAUUUAAAAAUAAUGUACUUUCUGUUGCACUCCCAACAGAAGCAAUAAAAAUAAUGAGCAUUUCUUACAGAGGAACAAAAUAGCAGUGUGAAAUGUCUGAUAAAAUGCUGGUCUCAUUGAAGUCACCAGUAGCCCUUCCAUUAAGUCCAGAGCAAUCAGAAAUUUGGCAGACUGUACAAACAACGGGUUUAUAGGAUUCACUGUAUAUUGCUUUUUUUAAUCAUCAUAAGAGACAGGCUUCAUAGCUUCAGCAGGGCAAAUAAGGAUCCCAAAAGCUGUAGAAACAUGACCAACCAGGAUAAUGUCUUUCACUACAGGACAGGAGCUUGUAUUUGAUGUAGCUUCUGCUACUUUUCAUGCUGUGCAGGUAUUGUGUGAAAGUUAAAUGGGUGUGCUAGUGCAUAACUCAGUCACACAUUCCCCCUACUCUUUACUCAUAAACUUUGAAAUGGAUGAUCUUUGGAAAUGUCCUGCAGUCAGGCUGUGGUCUGCCUUUUUUUAAUGGAGAUGCCUCUCUUUGAAUAUGUACAAAGGAGAGUACAAAAAUCUGUGCUAUGCUUAAGGACUUUAUAAUUUAAACACUAGUGCAUGUUGUAAAAAUUUACUUAUUGGGAGAAACAAAACCACUUUAAUUCAGUGAGGCACUUAACUCAGUUGAAAAAUUAGUCAGAAGCAAUACCGUGUCUGACUGAUGUAAUUGUGAAUCUCUCAUUGUCAGCUAAUGAUGUCUAGGACAUUUCUUAAAUUUACGCAUCCAAUAAAUUACUGUGAAAACAUCAGCUGUUAAUCAAACAGAAUAAUUUAAGAGAAGAGUCUGGAAUGAUCACGUACUGUUUAAAAGCAUUAGUGGUGGCACAGUAUAGUACGUGUAGAUUUACGUGAAGUUGUUCUGCAGUCUCACCUUAUCUCCCUGAAAUUUUGGAUUUAGCUGUUCUAUGGUUCCCCUGCCUCUCUCACAUAGAAUAAACAAAGGAAAUGAUUUUUAAUUAAUAGAAAAACAAAUAAACUAGUCCAUUAAAGUCCCUGAGAACCCAGCAUGACUUGACAGAUUUUAGUGACAGGAAUACUCUCCUGCAAUGCACUCAAACUAUGCUAAUGAGCAUGCAGUUGGAAUAAAAGAGUAGAUCUUUAAAACCUUGUAACUCCAAGGCACGUAAAUCAGCUUGUAUUUGCUUCUGUGGUGAAAGAAAUGUAGAUAAUGGUUUGCAUUAUGUUUUCUAAGUCUCCUCUCUGAACUGUUCACCUCCUUUUGAUCCACCUACAGUGUCAUAUUUUUGUGUCUGUUUGUUAUCGUCCAUACUAAUGCAAUUUAGGUGUAACUGCUUGAGUGCUUGUUAAGAAUUGGUUCUUCUCUUGUCAGCUGAGAAACCUUUCAGAAGAAGGAGAAAACAACCACUUUAUUGUCUUGCCAGUUCUUACUUUCAGUGCUCUUGUGUGAGUAGGGUAGCUCUCCCAGUCCUCCUCUUCCUCCCCACAAACACCAUCAACUAGGCUUAUCUGCUACCUCACCAAGCCAUCUAAGCCAGUUGAUUUCCAUCUUCUCCAAAAAGCUGCAGUUUGCCUGUUUUGUACAAGCACAAUUAGUGUAACUGGUUUAAGUGCCCAGCCUCAAUAGCCUGCCAGUUUUGUUUUAUGAGUGCCAUUACAACCGUAUCUCCAGUAUCCGUGCACUUUGCUGGAAGCAUUGCUGAUAACUGAUCAGUUUUUACAGACUCUGGCUGCACUGCCUCUCUGGUCAUGGAGGCGGAUGGCCCCUUGCAGCUGCAGGGCAAUGUUUUCUCUGCCAGCACAAGCAGCUACUCUUUGCCCUAUGUCAUGUGCUUGAGUUACUGCUGAGUACUGCAAACUCUGAGCUACAGAUUUUCUUCCACUGUUGGAAAAACUUGUCCCUUACCCACCCCGUGGCACUUAAGAAUGAGGCCUUUGUGUUGGAUGUGAUCCAAAUCCUGCCCGUGGUAUUAAGGAAUGUAACUAAGAGUAAUGGACCUGAACCUCGGUGCUCUGCUGCUGGAUUUAUAACUCCAUUAUUGUCCCAGCUUCAGUAGGUCACACUAAUGACAUGAAGAGUAACCUGAAGGGGGAAAAUAUCCAUGUACUGGUAAGGGAAUGCAGGCCAGGUUUUUAAUAAGAUAGAACACCAAGGCUGGAUGAAGUGUGUGUUCACAGUAUUUUUCAUUUUGCUCUUUAUAUUUGCUAACAUCAUGAAAUGGUCCAAGGGCUUCUCUGGUUCUGGCUACUCAGAUGCCAUGUAUUUUCUUCACAAAUACUCGCCCUGAGUUAAAGAAAUCAAGGAGUUCGUUUCAUAAGCUGAAGCCUUACAGCUUUAAAUUUGCCACUUGCCCUGAGACUCAUUACCUGUAAUUGAUUUAUUAAUCGUCUUCAGUAAAUGUGCCUACCUAUGAACAUUCAGUAUGUUUGAGGCAUAUCUCAGAGAUUUUUGGCAUCCCCUCUGAAAUUUAAGCAAUGCUUUGCUGAGUAGAAAUGUCUCAUUUUUUUUCUAAAUUAACUUGCUUUGAAGAGCUCUCACUCUAAGUAAUUAAUAGCUUAGAUGCACUUCAGGUUUCUUCCACAUCAUCCUGAAAACUGUGGAGGGAGAACCAAAAAUGUGCUCCUCUCUUAAAAGUUCAAGUUUUCUCUGAGUUUCCGUGAUUAUUUUUCUUUUCCUUUUAUUUUUUGUCCUGUUUGACUCUAUAUACCUCUGAGCCAAGCAACAGCAAAAAGCAGCCGCAGUGAGCUAGGCUGCAUGUAGCUGAAUGCAUCUGGCCUUCCAUUUGGUUUACUAUACUGGGAAAACACUCAGCAGUCUUGAUAGCUAAGAAUGGAAUGGAUUAUUUCUUCUAUUAUUUGAAGCCUGAAAAACUUUGUUGUGCUUAGAUUGAUCUGUCUCACUGCUGUACUUACUACAUAGGUGCUUUAUCCCCAUGUGAAAUAGUUUGUGAGUUAAUUUUAGCUGCAGGCUUUACUUUGAGGAUGUUUACAUGCCCAAGAGUGCCAGCUGGCAAUGUAACUCAUCUGGGUUUUCUGAUUCAUUUAUUUUUUUGAUCUGCAGGGGAAGCAGAAAAGAAAUCAGUGAAAAAUAAGAUAAGUGGUAAAUAAGAGGUAGUGCCAAGUGAGAUGAAGAGAAGCUGAUCAGUUACUUGACAAAGGAAAUCUGUCCAAUCUAGAGAAAGAAUGCAGUUUAAGGUAUCUUGUUAAGCUAUUUUUCACUGUAACUGUUACUUUAAAAAUACUACUACUUAACCACAGAUAAAUAUAAAUGUUAACUCAAGCCCCAUGUCUUUUUCAAUUGCAUGGGUUUUUUGUUUUUUUUUUUGUUUGUUUUUGUUUUGUUUGGUUGUUUUUUGUUGUUGUUGUUGUUAUGUUUUUUAAAACCUCAGCUGUGUCAGGUUUUCUGUUUUGCAAAAUGAGAAGCAAUAUCACAGGUGACAGAGGGAACAUGUCUUCCUAUAGAUUUUGACAACUGGAUUAUUAGAAACGGUAACAUCUGUUACCUCAAAUGCCUUCACCCUUAUAAAAUGAGCAUUAGCCAAAUGUUGGUAAUAGUUGGUUUAUACUCUUUUGGCUGUAUUUUACCUAAAACUGAAUUUUUGAGUGUUACGGGAAUUGAGGUAAGAGCUUUUGCAGUGGUAACUACAAAUUUGUCCAGUUAAAGGAAGAUUUCUCAGCUUUUUAAUAGAUCCAGGAGGGUGGAAAGUGAUUUCCUUAGCAGCUAACAGGGUGCUGAAGGACAAGACUAAUUACUUGAGGGGACAAAUUGGGUCAUUCAUCAUUUCCCCACAGUCAGAGCUUCCUCCCAAAUCUUCUUCAUUUCAAUAAACCAGCUUUAUCCAGCAAAUAUUGUGAGGAAAUCCACGCUUUACUGUAGAAGUAGGGCAAACUAAUUAAGAGCAAUGCAGUGGUGUUAGCUACUCAUGAAGUAAUGGCUUCAAAGAUCCCUACUUCAGUAAUCUUUCACACCUUUUUACUUGUAUUACUUAUUUUAUGGUGUUUUAUUCCACUCAGCUGCUCAGUGCAGGAGGUUUGCUUUGUGUUGUGAAAUCACCGUUGUGGUGUGCUAUGUACUUGCUCACUUUGUGGACAAGCAGAGCCUCUAAUGAAUAUCUGAACCUGGAAUGCUAGGAUGGUUUAUGGGCACCUUGGGUAGUAUUCAGGACCUGGCAUGCUUCUCUACUCCAUCUGUUUCAAAUGAGAUUUGUAUUUAUUUUUCUAUGACUGCUUUGAAAAGGAGGAUGGUAGAAAAGUGUGCUGCUGUCUUGUAAAUUAUUCAAGGUAUGACUGAGUGUUCCUUCUUUUAUAAUAUACCUGUAAGAACUGGCUAAAAAGCUUAUGUCUCUGGAGGGAGAUGAAAGUAUUCGCCGACAGUGAAUUCUCUCUUUAUGGUUAAUAUAUUUGAACGCAACCCAUUUGUGGAUGUAUUCUCGAUGUUGACAAGGUCCUGAAUUCAGCUCUGGAUUUGCUAGAUAGCAGUAUGAGACAUGUAAAUUAGUUCAUAGAAAAGCAGAGCUACUUAAGAAGUUGCAGGGUUUUUUUUU
Gallus gallus (chicken) is the source of this 5981-nucleotide long non-coding RNA. RefSeq lists it as uncharacterized. Lineage: Eukaryota; Metazoa; Chordata; Aves; Galliformes; Phasianidae. The transcript has 2 exons. The record is from RefSeq and is a predicted model, not a curated record.